This 783-nucleotide ribosomal RNA is filed under the name fungal sp. RNAcentral's name for it is "eukaryotic LSU rRNA". The stretch from base 470 to 783 matches the Rfam family "Eukaryotic large subunit ribosomal RNA", at positions 1 to 310 of the family's 3401-position model. Lineage: Eukaryota; Fungi. The record is from RNAcentral.
UUACAGUGUUCUCUGCCCUCACGGGUAGAAACGCCCACCCUUGUAUAUCUAUCUUUGUUGCUUUGGCAGGCCGCCCCUGGGCACCGGCUCUAGCUGGAUCGCGCCUGCCAGAGGAAACCCCAACUCUGAAUGUUAGUGUCGUCUGAGUACUAUCUAAUAGUUAAAACUUUCAACAACGGAUCUCUUGGUUCUGGCAUCGAUGAAGAACGCAGCGAAAUGCGAUAAGUAAUGUGAAUUGCAGAAUUCAGUGAAUCAUCGAAUCUUUGAACGCACAUUGCGCCCCGUGGUAUUCCGCGGGGCAUGCCUGUUCGAGCGUCAUUUAAACCAAUCCAGCCUGCUGGGUCUUGGGCCUCGCCUCUGGGCGGGCCUUAAAGUCAGUGGCGGCGCCACCUGGCUCUAAGCGUAGUACUUCUUCUCGCUACAGAGUCCUGGGCGGAGGCUUGCCAGACAACCCCUAAUUCUCAAAGGUUGACCUCGGAUCAGGUAGGGAUACCCGCUGAACUUAAGCAUAUCAAUAAGCGGAGGAAAAGAAACCAACAGGGAUUACCUCAGUAACGGCGAGUGAAGCGGUAACAGCUCAAAUUUGAAAUCUGGCUCUUUUAGGGUCCGAGUUGUAAUUUGUAGAAGAUGCUUCGGGUGUGGCUCCGGUCUAAGUUCCUUGGAACAGGACGUCAUAGAGGGUGAGAAUCCCGUAUGUGACUGGCUGCCUUCGCCCAUGUGAAGCUCUUUCGACGAGUCGAGUUGUUUGGGAAUGCAGCUCUAAAUGGGGUGGUAAAUUUCAUC